GCCACUUCAUAUAAAAUUUUAUGUUCAAUGAGUGGACACAGUUAUUUAUUUAAAUCCUGUCUUUAACACAUCCUCACUUUAUAUUUUGAUCAAUAAACAGACUAAAAGAAACUUACAAUCUUCAAUAGUUAGGUAUACAAGUACAACAAAAGUAACACGAACUAGUGGACACAAGUCACACCUCCAGCUACAAGAGCUCACACAGGCAGCUUUUACUUUUCUAAACGAAAGCACUCGAGGAUUGCAAUAUUAUUGGAAACAUAAACACAGUACGAACUUGUAGAUGGGCACAAGGCAUGACCUCCAACAAGUACAUAUAAAUUCAUCGAUUAGCAAUGACGGUAGUAGCAGUAGCAACCAUAAUGCUUACUAUGGUGAUUUUUUAGACAAGCACCAUGGUAAGCUCCCUCGUGGUGAAUACAGUAACUGCUGCAUUUAUGAGGAGCACACAACCCACGCCAUCCUUUGCUAAGUUUUGUGCAAGGUUUUGCCUCCCCCAAUUGCAUCUCUGCGUAAAAAUUGGAUCAGGAAAGAUAAAUAGUAUCAGUUAUUCAAUAAAU
This 560-nucleotide long non-coding RNA is filed under the name Olea europaea subsp. europaea. The record is from RNAcentral. Lineage: Eukaryota; Viridiplantae; Streptophyta; Magnoliopsida; Lamiales; Oleaceae.